UGUCAUUCUCAGCUUCUUCAUAAGUCUUAGGUUCUAUUUGUGAAACAAAAGUAAGAUAGUCAUUUAAAUUUCUAAGAGAGGAUCGAGUUCUUACCCUUUGAGAUGGAUCACCAAUGAUUAAGUCUUUAGGGUGUCCAUGUGCGUACCUCCAUUCCUUUGGCAAGUCUUGAGAUUGUGGUGGCACACGAUCAUCUUCCUUUUCUUGAUUUGGCACGUCAUUAAGAUUCAAUUUUUCGAACUCAA
Molecule: long non-coding RNA, 243 nt
Filed under: Phoenix dactylifera (date palm)
Lineage: Eukaryota; Viridiplantae; Streptophyta; Magnoliopsida; Arecales; Arecaceae
Description: long non-coding RNA (PDAC_LNC006475)
Source: RNAcentral